Molecule: long non-coding RNA, 4489 nt
Organism: Alligator sinensis (Chinese alligator)
Lineage: Eukaryota; Metazoa; Chordata; Crocodylia; Alligatoridae
Exons: 3
Source: RefSeq, a predicted model, not a curated record
ACCCCCCCCACCCAGAAACAUGCACACAGACACAUGCACACCCAGCCUGGCCACACACUUUCCCCCCACAGGACCUCCCCCAACCCCCACUCUCUCUUGAUCACUAAUCACUAUGAGACAGACCCCACCCCUCUCCCAACUUCCCCCUCCCCCCACCACAAGCCACCUAUGGCUCUGUCUCAUUCCUGUCUGGCCUCUGUUGCACAGACCUGCAGGGCUGGGCUGGGCUGGGAGAACAAUGCCGUGCCAUGCCUUUGCACUGGAAGGGGCAGAUAUAGGGGCUAAGGUGAAUUUUGGGGGGCUACAACCUCCCAAGACACCCCCCCCCCCCCCCAGCGCCACCACCUGCCUGCAGGGAUGCUGCCCAGUAUGGCACUCCUGGUCUAGGGUUUGCACCGCGGACAAGGUGCUUUCUGGCACUCCCAGCUGGCCCAGCCCCAGCCUGUCCCCCCAGCCCCAUUGGGUGAGGGGCUCCACUCCCAGCUGCAGAGAAACAAAUGUGAAAGCUGGGGUUUUCAACUUGGCACAAUUUUUGUGUCCCUGCUGGGAGACAAAAAUGCACCAAGUUUAAAACCCCGCUUUCUCUUCCCUGCUGAUAAGGAUCCCAGGUAGGGUGGCCAUCAUAGAGGACAGUCUGGUUGUCCUUUGUCCUCUAUUGAUACAAAGCCAGAUGCCUUUAUGGGCUCUAUUUUUCUCUUCAAGAGAAAAAUAUGAAACCGGGCCGGCUGUGUGGCUGGGCUGGGCCAGGCCGGCUGGGAGUGCCACACAGCGCCUUGUGGAAGCACCGGGCCAGGAGUGCCACACUGCGCCACAUCCCUGCAGAUGGGCAGUGGUGCUGGGGGGGGUCUUGGGAGGUUGUAAUCCAGUUCAUAUCAAUAGAGGACAGAGGACAGAGUAGGAGUUUCACAUCCAGUUUCAUAUCAGUAGAGGACAGAGGACAGAGUAGCAGAAAACUGGAAUGUCCUCUCUGAUGGCUACCCUAAUCCUGGGGCUGGGGCCCUGAAUUGGUAGGGGCCCCUGGGCUCGUGCCCAGCUGGCCCGUGCAUUAAUCCGCCUGUGCUCCAAUCCAGCUUUCUAGUCUGUCAAAAUCCAUCUGAACUGUGUUCUCAUCCUCCAACAUGUUCACAGUCCUUCCCAGGUUCACAUCAUCAGCAAACUUGCUCAAGAAACCUCCUAUACCAGAUUCAAACCAUUAAUAAACAUCCUGAACAGCAGUGGUCCCAGGACCAACCUCUGUGAGACUCCACUCAAAACCUCCUGCCAUUUAUCUAUCCAAAUUAUAGUAGUUUUAUCCAGCCCACACAUGUCCAAUUUAUUUAUGAGAAGGUCACGUGGGACCUUGUCAAAAGCCUCCUGAAGUCCCUACACACAAUAUCCAGAGCGUUCUCUUCACCCCCCACAAGUUACAUUGUCAAAGAAGGAGAUCAGGUUUGUUUGACAUAUUUUCUUCUUCAUAAAUCAAUGCUCGUGGCUUGCGAUCAACCUUUCCUCCUCCAGAUACUUGCAAAUGGUCUUCCUUAGGAUACGUUCCUGCAGCAUCCCAGUGAGGUGAAGCUAAAUAUUCUGUAGUUCCCCACUGAGUAGUUUUGCCUUUUUAAAAGAGGGACACAAUGUUGCACCUUCUCCAGUCCUCUGGUACCUCACCUCUCUCCCAUGACUUUGUAAAUAGUAUUGCCCAGGGCUCCAAGGUCUCCUCUCUUAGUUACUCCAGUACUGCGGGGGGGCACGACUCGUCAGGCCCUGCUGACAUGAAAUCAUUCAGACCCUUCUGAAACUCUAGGACUGCCUCUCUCCUUAUCUCACCCCUCAGCUGUUCCUGUCCUUAUCUAAACAGUCCUUCUUAGCCAUCUGGCUUCAGCCUCAUGUUUUGGGAAGACUGAGCCCAAGCGGCUGUUGAGCAGCUCUGACUCCUUUGCAUUGCCCUGCACCCUCCUCUCCCUCUUUCAUAUUUUCUCAGGCUUUGUCUCCAGCAGCCCCCUGCUUGCACUGAUGCCUUGAUGGAGAAUAGGGGGUUCUUUAAAGACAAGGUGGUACAUGAAGGGUCUGAUGGAGCAGUGGGAGCAGACCUACCCCCAGUCCUGUGGUGCCCCUGGGAUGGGUGCCAGCUUGGCUUCCUCAGCACAUUGCAUUCUUUCACUUUGCAGCUUAGGCAGACCUUAUAUAAUUGAAAGAGGAACUUGAGAGAGACAGAGAGAGAAACUGAGUGGCUGAUAUGAGCAAAAAGGAGCCUGCAGAGGGACAAGAGACCAAGGCACUUCCCAGAAGAGCCCUCUGGGGAAGGUUUCAAACUCUGGAGUUGGAUAUCUGGAUGAUGUGGCCGGCACAAUAAAGUUGAUAUCAGAUGAUCGACAUCUCAAUGCACAGGGUGUUUGCCUGUGAGUGGAUGCUAAUGUUGGUGCAUCUGUCUACCACUGGAUUCAAAGGAUUGUCCACAAACAGCUGAUGGUACUUCUCCAGUGACUUGAGGUGUCUCCUGUAUCUUGUCCAUGUCUCAGCUCCAUACAGUCCUUGCAGCAAGUUACAGGAUCUGCCAUGGCCAGUGCCAGUGAGGGUUUAGAUCCUGAAGCUUUUUCCCAUAUACCCCAAGAGGAGCUGGAGAAGCUGAAGGCCAUACUAAAGAAAGGAGAUCUCAUGGUAGAAGAAGAAAAUACCCAAGGUAUGCAGGAUAAUGGAGAAAAUGUUAGUCUCAAUGUUGCUAUCACACAGAUCCCAGGCUCUGGCAAGUCAUCCUUCAUCAAUGCUGUGCACACCCAGAAUGAUGGAGAUGAGGGUGGAGCUGACAUAGGAGUGAUGAAAAAAACAUCCAAGCCUGCUCCUUUGCCACACCCAAAAUACCCCAAAGUCAAGCUUCUGCUUUGCGCCCACCUCAGUACAUCAAGAACACGAAACUGCAAUCCUACCUGCUAAGCAAGAUAAGUGCAUCAAAAGCUUGCAAGCAGGAUGGGUGGAAUCGGCACAGUUUUUCCUUGUCUCAAGGUGGCAGUUUAUCAAGUACGAUUCUCCCAAGCUUCAGGAUACUCUUGUGGACGAGCUCCCCACUCACAAUCACUUCUCUCUGUUUUCUGCCCAACUUCUCUAAAGGAGCCUUGAAGAAGAAAAAGAAACACCUGAUGCACAGAUAUGGCUGAAGUUUAUAUUCCUUAGGAGCUCCUACUCUUCCUCUGUUAGGCCUUUCUACUGUUUUAGAUGAAGUUAUCUGGUGACAUUCCUGAAACAGUACUGGGAAUCUGACCUGGAUGAAAAGUCCCUUGCCAAGCUUUCUAGGCAGACUAAGGAGACCAUCAAAGAGCUGACAGAUGUGCUGAAGUUCCCCCUGGCCCAUGAAAUCACAAGACAUCUCAUCAUUAAGCUCCUGCCCAAGGCAGCAACUGAGGCAGUGCAAUACCCUUUGCUGCUCCUGAAGGCCAUCCCCAUAUUGGGUCUCAUAAUAGGUUCCAGGGAAGCAUCCACCAUUUCUUUCCCAACCUCAUACUUCAUGUUUCUGUUUUUUUCUGGAGGACAUGACUGAUGAUGCGCUGGAAAAGGCUUUGGACUGAAAACCGUUUAAGUCAGACCAGCCCCAGAUAAAGGUCAACACUGGCUCUGUGAAAGAGAUGUGGGGGCAGGUCUUCCGUUGGUAUCCAGGGAACUGAGCCUGGGACAAUACAUGACUGCAUGAAACCAAUGGCUGCCCCCACCAUUCCCCUCAGUGAUGCUGCCUUGCCCCGACCUGGUCCUUAAGGAGCCCUGAUAUCCAGAUCCAGCCUGGGUGUGGGUCAAUCUGACACUCCUGCUGUACAGCUCUGGAAGGGAGAAAUGCGGCAAGGAGUGCAGGGAGGCUGCCACGGGGACACAUCAGGCUGGUCCCAUUAACCUCAGGGAAUGACCUCCCAAGCACCCCCCUCCUCCCCCAUGUCCCAUGCUCCCUCUGUUUGGGGAUGGAAGAGAGCAAACCCCCAGGCCUGGGCUGUGGAGCUCUUGUAGGCCUUAGGAUGCUUUGGAGGAAUAUUUUAGCAUGAGUCAAGCUAAGCAGUAAACUGAGGGAAGGAAGUGGUAAGAGGCUAGAAUAUUGCAGAGGUGAGAAUGGGCUUCAACGGCAGGGGUGUAUUUGCAAUUUCUGUUUAUCCAUUUGCCAUAAGUGCAUUACUCCUCACUUAGCAGCUCUGAAAGUCAGGUGGUCGGACUGAAGGAAGACAAGCAAGGCACUGACUUGCGACUGAGUCCCUCUAGCCCUGAACUCCAGCUUGUGCUGAGGUUCACCUUCAGAUACCAGAAGACCCUUGCUGCUUCUGCACUUAGGCUCUGGGCCUUGGAUGAGACUGCCUCUAGCAGACUGGCCACCUGCUAGUGAUUGUGAAGUGUUCAGGAUUUCUUUUGUGUAGUAUUAGGAUUUUUUUAUGAGCAUUUUAUCAUUUGUAACUUUGAUGAGUAUAUUUUGGUUUGACAUUGCAUUGCUCUGUAUUGACUUGUCAUGCAUUCCAGGUAAGACUUAUAUUAAAGCUUCCUGAUA